This is a non-coding RNA of Armillaria luteobubalina, 100 nucleotides long. The record is from the annotation of a GenBank genome assembly. NCBI's taxonomy places the organism in Eukaryota, Fungi, Basidiomycota, Agaricomycetes, Agaricales, Physalacriaceae.
GGGUCGAUGGCGUAGAUGGUUAUCGCAUCUGUCUAACAUUUAAGUAUCCUCAGGUAUCAAUGUUCACAGAAGGUCCUCAGUUCGAACCUGGGUCGACUCA